AGGGUGAUAGCUCAGUGGUGGAGCACAUGCUUAGUGUGCAUGAGGUUCUGGGUUCAAUCCCCAGUACCUCCA
This 72-nucleotide transfer RNA is filed under the name Camelus bactrianus (Bactrian camel). It matches the Rfam family "tRNA". Rfam says of the family: Transfer RNA (tRNA) molecules are approximately 80 nucleotides in length. Their secondary structure includes four short double-helical elements and three loops (D, anti-codon, and T loops). Lineage: Eukaryota; Metazoa; Chordata; Mammalia; Artiodactyla; Camelidae. The record is from Rfam by way of RNAcentral. RNAcentral also lists the same sequence under 3 other names.